AACAGGAUUAGAUACCCUGGUAGUCCACGCCGUAAACGAUGUCGACUUGGAGGUUGUGCCCUUGAGGCGUGGCUUCCGGAGCUAACGCGUUAAGUCGACCGCCUGGGGAGUACGGCCGCAAGGUUAAAACUCAAAUGAAUUGACGGGGGCCCGCACAAGCGGUGGAGCAUGUGGUUUAAUUCGAUGCAACGCGAAGAACCUUACCUACUCUUGACAUCCAGAGAACUUAGCAGAGAUGCUUCGGUGCCUUCGGGAACUCUGAGACAGGUGCUGCAUGGCUGUCGUCAGCUCGUGUUGUGAAAUGUUGGGUUAAGUCCCGCAACGAGCGCAACCCUUAUCCUUUGUUGCCAGCGGUUAGGCCGGGAACUCAAAGGAGACUGCCAGUGAUAAACUGGAGGAAGGUGGGGAUGACGUCAAGUCAUCAUGGCCCUUACGAGUAGGGCUACACACGUGCUACAAUGGCAUAUACAAAGAGAAGCGACCUCGCGAGAGCAAGCGGACCUCAUAAAGUAUGUCGUAGUCCGGAUUGGAGUCUGCAACUCGACUCCAUGAAGUCGGAAUCGCUAGUAAUCGUGGAUCAGAAUGCCACGGUGAAUACGUUCCCGGGCCUUGUACACACCGCCCGUCACACCAUGGGAGUGGGUUGCAAAAGAAGUAGGUAGCUUAACCUUCGGGAGGGCGCUUACCACGGUAGGAUUCGUGACUGGGGUGAAGUCGUAACAAGGUAACC
RNAcentral lists this ribosomal RNA (730 nucleotides) under uncultured bacterium. RNAcentral's name for it is "bacterial SSU rRNA". It matches the Rfam family "Bacterial small subunit ribosomal RNA", at positions 771 to 1501 of the family's 1533-position model. The record is from RNAcentral.